UCACAAAUAUAUCAGUAGAGUUCACCAAAUCUUAACUAGGAAAAAGAAAAUAAAUCAACCACUCAUGGUGGACUUUUUAACACAAAUGAGUUCUUAGAGAGUAAAGAAAAGAAGAAAGAUGAAGAAGAAAAAAAUUGAAGAAGUAGCAAAAGUUGUUGUGUGCGGCAUAGGGAAGAAGAGAGAUGAUCCUUCGACUUUGGUGGUUGCCUAUUUUAUAACUGUUGGGACUCAAAGGUUU
This 238-nucleotide long non-coding RNA is filed under the name Carica papaya (papaya). Its description in RNAcentral is "long non-coding RNA (CPAP_LNC016273)". Lineage: Eukaryota; Viridiplantae; Streptophyta; Magnoliopsida; Brassicales; Caricaceae. The record is from RNAcentral.